Molecule: long non-coding RNA, 874 nt
Organism: Macadamia integrifolia
Lineage: Eukaryota; Viridiplantae; Streptophyta; Magnoliopsida; Proteales; Proteaceae
Exons: 2
Source: RefSeq, a predicted model, not a curated record
GGACGGCCAUAUAUAACUUUUUCAAUUGAAGGAAGUGAGAGAGAGACACAAAUUUUGAUAGACCAUUUGCAUACCCAACCUUUUCCAUCCAGCCUCCCGAAUCAACUUAUUUAGAUCAAAAUCAGCUGAUGCCAAUCGCAAUUGAAAAAGUUUCAUAUGCCCGUCCCAUUGGUUGAGCCACAAGGCUUCAGGAAAGACCUGAAGCGAGAGAUAGACACAAAUUUUGAUGUACCAUUAGCAUACCUAGCCUUUUCCAUCCAGGCUCCCGAAUCAGCUGAUUUAGAUCAGAAUCAGCUCAUGCCAAUCCCAUCGAUUGCCGACUGAAUCAGCCAGUAUAGCACCAUAUCCGGAUUCCACUCUUUAAAAUCCUGGGAACAGUAGAACACCAUGGAUGGAAGUAUCCCAUUCCUAAACUCAAAUUUAGAGCAUCAAAAGAUACAGAUUCCAUUGCAAUUUGCAAGUGUUAGAAACAGAAAAUAAGAAAAGGUAGGCAUUGGGGAAGAGGACUUAGAGAGAGGAGUAGAUCAGAGGAAAAUUCUCGAUUAAAUAAACCAAGGCCGACGACCACCAGAGAUAGUUGCCUUGAAGAUGAAAUAGCUUUUGCAGGUUGAGAACAUAAAGCUGCUCCCUCUCUUAACAACAUUAAAGAGCUUGUGUCUGUGUUGAGUGUGAGGUUGUGGAGCAGAGAAACCCAGCUCGGAUAAAGAGUAAGCUUUUUGCUGCUUUCAGUUUCAGGGGAGGUGUGAGAAAGGAGGGAACAAAGAGGGACAGCAGAAAAUUUGAUUUCAAGAAGGGAAGCAACCUCUUUAGCAGUUCGUUGAAACCAUUCUAUUGGUCACUUCUCAAAUAAUGCAUUCAGGCUAUCAUUACAUUA